RNAcentral lists this transfer RNA (84 nucleotides) under Sulfuricurvum sp. Its description in RNAcentral is "tRNA-Leu". It matches the Rfam family "tRNA". Rfam says of the family: Transfer RNA (tRNA) molecules are approximately 80 nucleotides in length. Their secondary structure includes four short double-helical elements and three loops (D, anti-codon, and T loops). Lineage: Bacteria; Pseudomonadati; Campylobacterota; Epsilonproteobacteria; Campylobacterales; Sulfurimonadaceae. The record is from RNAcentral.
GCGGAUGUGGUGGAAUGGUAGACACGCCAGACUUAGGAUCUGGUGCCUCACGGUGUGGGAGUUCAAGUCUCCCCAUCCGCACCA